This 253-nucleotide ribosomal RNA is filed under the name uncultured bacterium. RNAcentral describes it as "partial 16S ribosomal RNA". It matches the Rfam family "Bacterial small subunit ribosomal RNA", at positions 524 to 776 of the family's 1533-position model. The record is from RNAcentral.
UACGAAGGGGGCUAGCGUUGCUCGGAAUCACUGGGCGUAAAGGGUGCGUAGGCGGGUCUUUAAGUCAGGGGUGAAAUCCUGGAGCUCAACUCCAGAACUGCCUUUGAUACUGGGAGGCUCGAGUCCGGGAGAGGUGAGUGGAACUGCGAGUGUAGAGGUGAAAUUCGUAGAUAUUCGCAAGAACACCAGUGGCGAAGGCGGCUCACUGGCCCGAUACUGACGCUGAGGCACGAAAGCGUAGGGAGCAAACAGG